AUUGAACGCUGGCGGCAUGCCUUACACAUGCAAGUCGAACGGCAGCACGGGAGCAAUCCUGGUGGCGAGUGGCGAACGGGUGAGUAAUAUAUCGGAACGUGCCCGGUCGUGGGGAUAACGUAGCGAAAGCUACGCUAAUACCGCAUACGAUCUACGGAUGAAAGCGGGGGAUCGCAAGACCUCGCGCGAUUGGAGCGGCCGAUAUCAGAUUAGGUAGUUGGUGAGGUAAAGGCUCACCAAGCCGACGAUCUGUAGCUGGUCUGAGAGGACGACCAGCCACACUGGGACUGAGACACGGCCCAGACUCCUACGGGAGGCAGCAGUGGGGAAUUUUGGACAAUGGGCGCAAGCCUGAUCCAGCAAUGCCGCGUGCAGGAUGAAGGCCUUCGGGUCGU
This 395-nucleotide ribosomal RNA is filed under the name uncultured bacterium. Its description in RNAcentral is "bacterial SSU rRNA". It matches the Rfam family "Bacterial small subunit ribosomal RNA", at positions 30 to 426 of the family's 1533-position model. The record is from RNAcentral.